This 5210-nucleotide long non-coding RNA is filed under the name Aotus nancymaae (Ma's night monkey). RNAcentral's name for it is "lncRNA (ENSANAG00000039491.1)". The record is from RNAcentral. Lineage: Eukaryota; Metazoa; Chordata; Mammalia; Primates; Aotidae.
AUGUCCUACCUCAGAGGUCCUGCUGAGGAUCCCUGGUUCCCAGUAGGGAAGACCGUGAGGAGGAGGGCCAAGAAAGGCACUCUUUCCAGUGAUUUCCAUCGCCAUUCGUACAUGGAGUUUGGCUACAGCAAAAUCCGUUGCUAUCUCACCAGCUACAAGAAAGAAAGACAAAAUUCCAAUUCAUUUUUGUGCUCUAGGACCUUGGUUAAAGGUAGAAGGACUUUGCAGAUGGAAGUGGCAACAGCAGAAAUGCAUGUCUGAAUGAAUUUUACCUUGCCUUAGCCCAACCUGGAUUAAAGGCUGCUUCUAAGAGGGAAAAUCUCAGCUUCAGUGUUUGGAACUGGGGUCAUCCUGGAAUUUUCUUUUUUGAGGGGCUUGACAAAAUAGAGAAGCAGAAAAGUCUGUCUUCAGCUCCUAUUAUGGUGAUCCACAGUGUUUCAGCCUUGUUUCUACUUCCUCUGGGUGUCUAGCUACUCCCCAGCCCUCCCUCUCUUCCUCAGCCUUGCCCUUCUCUCAUCUUCUCAAAGUCACCUGUUUUACGACACCUUAAUGAUUACUAUUUUAUUUAACACAGUGAUUACUGUAAGGCUGGUUGCCUUGCCAGGAGCUCAGACACGCCCACCCCCCUCCGCACUUAGAAACCACGUCAUCAUCCCGCACCCACUUCUGCACUCAGCACUAGACUCUGCACUCAGCACCUAGCCAGCCGUUGAAGAAUCCCGCCAAAAUUUAAAAGAAGCCCCACCAAAAUCUGCCCAAUAGCAUUGUGCAUCCCGCUUGCCUGACAAUGGCAGCUUGCCCCGCCCACGACCUGCUUCCCCACAACCAAUCAAGAUGCGUCCACUCCCCAUAAAACCCCACAUCUGAGAAGAGUCAAGCGUGACUUCUCCGGCCCCUCCUGUCGGACCGCAGAACCUCGCCCCAGAGUUUAAUAAAUUCGUAUUCAAUCUUCUUGUGCUGGCCUCAGUUUCCUCAUUUUAAACUCGGCAAUAACCCUUACAAUUACUAUUUCCCAUGUAUUAUGGUUUUAUAUAUAUGAGCUUCAUUAAAACUCUAACAAUCCUAUGAGGUAGAAAUUAUUAAUGUCCCAAUUUCACUGAUGAGGGAACUUAGGUACAGAGAAUUCAGGGUUCUUUCUCAUAAGUGUCAAAGAUGAGAUUCAAAACCCAGGCAGUCAGCUCCAGAAUCUAUGAUCUUAACCACUACAGUAUGAUGACUUUCUAUGACUGAUAAAUAUGACAAAUAUGCUUUAAACUAGCAUUCCCCAACCUUUUUGGCACUAAAGAUUGGUUUUGUGGGAGGCAAUGUUUCCAUGGACCGGGGCAGGGAUGGUUUUGGGAUGAUUCAAGCACAUUAUAUUUAUUGUGUACUUUAUUUGUAUUAUUAUUUCAUUGUAAUAUAUAAUGAAAUAAUUAUAUAACUCACCAUAAUGUAGAAUCAGUGGGAGCCCUGAGCUUGUUUUCCUGCAACUAGACAGUCACAUCUGGGGGCAUUGGGAGACAUUGACAGAUUAUCAGGCAUUAGGUUAUCAUAAGGAGCAUGCAACCUAGAACCCUUGCGCACACAGGUCACAAUAGGGUUGGCAUUUCUAUAAGAAUCUAAUGCCGCUGCUGAUCUGACAAGAGGCAGAGCUCAGGUGGUAAUAUGAGAAAUGGGGAAUGGUUAUAAAUACAGACAAAGCUUCAGUGGGUCACCCAGACGUUUAGGACCCCUGCUUUAAACUAUUCUCUUUCUCAAAGCCUUUGGUAUUAUGGAAAAGCAAAAAGCCUUCAGCUGAAGGAAUGAAACAUUUAGAUGUGGGACUUCAGAUGGCAGGUGACAGGUCCAUCUGGGGCCAACUCUGCCUUCCAGGUGCCCUUCAUCCAUAUCAUAUCCUGUCACCCAGGCUGAGGAAUGCCCAGGACACCCACAAGGAAGAAUUUAGUACAUAUAGUAGCUCUAUCUUGUGCAACUAACAUUUAGGAAAUGGAAUUACUAUGUGCCAGAUAUUGUGUUAGGAGGUGUACUUGUACUAUAUCAUCAUCCAUGUAGGGCAGGUAGUAUUAACUCUCUCUUAAAUAAUCAGGAAAUUGAAGGAUCAAGUGGUGAAUGGCUAGGUAAUUAACGUAAGUCACGCAAGUUGAAACGGCAGUCCCAGGUCAGCCUGAACCCAACACCUGGUCUCUUUUUACAACAAAAACUUGAUUAUAGAAAGGUUAGAGCUUCUAGUUUUGCAUUCUUUAUUUUUGGUUAGAAUGCCAGUUUUGGCAAAUGACAAGGUAAGAAUAGAACCUACCAUUUCCUCACCCAUGAAUCAGUUACUCCCCCAGACUGUUUCAUUUUAGACCAUGGAUUUACCACGGCUUUACCACUAGCCUAGGGCCCCAAAUCGAAAACUCAAGACCUGACCUUUCUUUCUCCCUUACCCUAUCGCCUGUUUUUGCAGUUUACCAUCAAGUAAUGUCAAUUCUAUCUCCAAAGUACAUCAUGAGCUCAUCUAUUUCUGUCCAUCCCCACUAGCAGACCCAAGUCCAGGACUCAUCAACCAUUGCCCAAACUACGUCAACAGUGCCUUCUUGUGCACGCCUCAUCUACCCCACAAUUUAUCUUCAUAGAGAUGUGUACACUCUUCUUAGGACAUGUAUUGGAUCUUGUCCCUUUAUAUUUAAGAGUUUUCCAGCUGGAUUUGAUGUCACUUUUCCCGUGCUGUCACUAAUCCACAGCCACAACAGAAUGGGUCACACUCUCCCACACUUUGGACCCUUUGCCCAUGCCAGAAUCGUCCCCUGACCCUCUUCCUGUGACUGUCACCUCUUCAAAAAGGUCCACUGAACCUGAAGUCGACGUCCUCCCUCUAUCAAGAUUCAAUGUAUCAAAUUUACUCCUUCGAAGCCUUACACUAGCACCUGACAUACAGUAAGCACUCAAUUAUUGGCAGCUUUUGUUUCUGUUUUGACCGUUGUUAUAGUGAAUAUUCUAAAAAUGCAUGCCUAGAUGAUUGGAUAAAUGGAGUAGGGAAGAGAAAUAACAUCAAUAUCUUGGCCCCAGCGGCUUCUAAGAGAGGCAGCUUAAAUAUUUUUAAAGGAGAAACAAUGUAGGCUUGUAAAUCCUCCUUCCUGCCUUAAAAAUAAAUGUUAUUGCUAUGAUUGUCACGUACACAAGUACUAUGUGCAUAAUGGAAGCAUGUUUUACAAUAGAAUAUAAAAUAUAUUUUUAAAAAUACAAGAACACUUAAACUAUAUUUUUAAAAGCAGUGUUCAGGCCUGAUUGAUUUUCCUAAACAGGUUUUGCCUCAGCUCUUGCAGAUCCUUGUCAAGUUUUUUCUGACUUAGCAACAAAUAUCUAAAAUAAAGUUUAUCUUUUUAAUUUUCCAGUCUCCUUAUUCACAAAAUAGGAAAUAACUUCUAAAGACAGGAAAGAAAGAAACAGGGUGAAGAUAAAUUGGGUUAGAAUAACCCAUGACCUAGAUCAUUAGACUUUGUCCAGUUAAGAGCUGCCUUUUAACAGAGUUAAAAGUGACAGCAUCAUGGCCUCACACCCAACAGGGUUUGAGGCUGAACCUUUCUUUGAAAAUCAAUGCUCUGAUUUAUUCACAAAGAUACCCAUCACAGCAUUAUUAAUAAUAUUUCCUGUCCAAUGCUGGGGAUCCAGUUCAAUUAGCUAUAGAACAGACAUUUGAUGAAAUAUUAUAAAGCUAUUAAAAUAACAGGGGGCAAAUAAAUUUUAAAACAUGGGGAAAGCCUUGAUGUUUAAAUAUUAAGUGAAUGAAGGAAUUCUAUGAAUGAAACUCAUUAAAACAUGUCUUCACAAUAGCCACAUUGAUUGGACAUUUAGUUUCAUUCAGGCAUCAUUUCCAAAUGAGAUACAGCAGGGCAAGCUUGGAAACAAAUCAGGAACCUCUUGAUCCAUGGCACAAUGCUGUCGACCCCUAAGUUCUUCCUCCUGAUCUAAACCAAGGUUUGGAAGUACACUAAAAUAUUAAUACUAUACAUCAUUGCAGGCUUUUCUUCUUUGUUCCUCUGUAUUUUGCAAAUGUUCCAACACCUUUUAAAAAACACUUUUGUUCUCCUUUACAGUCUCCCUGGGAACUUCUAGAAGGCAGCUGCUGCGGACUCACAUCAUCCCUCCUUCCUCCUUUAUUUAUAAAUGUGUAAAUAAAGAAAUACCUCUGUGCCUUUAAAUUAUAACAGGUUAAACUUUCCCCUGUAAGUUGAUACUCAGACCAGAAGUCUGUGGGUAGGAUGAGUGUUGUGUUUUUUUGUUGCAGCUUCUUUUGGCUGAUAAACUAGCACUUAAGUGUUUCCCCUUUCCAAACCCCCAAAUGACAAGUGUCUUUGUGGUACUGUGAUGGCCCAACUGUCAUGGCCAACAUGAACGGUGUUGAGGACACUUAUUUUUAGCUUAAUCUCUAAGGAAGCACUAGGCUGGGGAUCCAGAGACCUUGAGGCCCAAACCCCUAGAAUCCCCAGAUUGGAGCUUCUAAAGAGAAAGAAAGGUGAGGCAACCAGAGCUCUUCGGGAUGGCCCAUACUCCUCCUCUCCAGAUGGGCCAGAAAGGCAGAGAUCUUACUUUUGGUGAGAUCUAUAUAAAAAGACUGUAAUGCCCUUUUUAUAUAGUUUAAUUUUACCAAAGAUGCUAUGAAACAGAAACAGGUUGACUCCAUUUGAAUAAAUGUAAACCCAGGCAGCCUUAGGGAGCUAUUACAGCAAUGAGGCCGAUGACAAGAAAUGGAGACACUUCUGCAGACAUCUGUUUCUAUGGCCUCCUCAACACCUUAUUCUCCCAUCAGCUAACACAGCUUCACUAUUUUAUUGAGAAGCUGCUAUUCUCUUUGGCAUUUACUUUUAAAGCAAGGUGCCACACCUUCCCUUGGUCAAGUAAUUGGCAUGUUAUCAAGUAUAUUAGUUUGUCUUCAUGCUGCUGAUAAAAGCAUACCAGAGACUGGAAAGAAAAAGAGGCUUAAUUGGGCUUACAGUUCCACAUGGCUGGGGAGGCCUCAGAAUCAUGGUGGGAGGUAAAAGGCACUUCUUACAUGGCAACAGCAAGAGAAAAUGAGGAAGCAGCCAAAGCGGAAACCCCUGAUAAGCCCAUCAGAUCUCUUGAGACUUAUUUGCUAUUAUGAGAAUAGCACGGGGAAGAUCAGCCCCCAUGAUGCAAUUACCUCCCCUGGGUCCCUCCUACAACANNNNNNNNNNNNNNNNNNNNNNNNNCCCCCCACUCUACCCCCCAAC